This 465-nucleotide ribosomal RNA is filed under the name Vreelandella stevensii. Its description in RNAcentral is "partial 16S ribosomal RNA". It matches the Rfam family "Bacterial small subunit ribosomal RNA", at positions 338 to 795 of the family's 1533-position model. Lineage: Bacteria; Pseudomonadati; Pseudomonadota; Gammaproteobacteria; Oceanospirillales; Halomonadaceae. The record is from RNAcentral.
CCUACGGGCGGCUGCCGUGGGGAAUAUUGGACAAUGGGCGAAAGCCUGAUCCAGCCAUGCCGCGUGUGUGAAGAAGGCCUUCGGGUUGUAAAGCACUUUCAGUGGGGAAGAAAGCCUUGGGGCUAAUACCCUCGAGGAAGGACAUCACCCACAGAAGAAGCACCGGCUAACUCCGUGCCAGCAGCCGCGGUAAUACGGAGGGUGCGAGCGUUAAUCGGAAUUACUGGGCGUAAAGCGCGCGUAGGCGGUCUGAUAAGCCGGUUGUGAAAGCCCCGGGCUCAACCUGGGAACGGCAUCCGGAACUGUCAGGCUAGAGUGCAGGAGAGGAAGGUAGAAUUCCCGGUGUAGCGGUGAAAUGCGUAGAGAUCGGGAGGAAUACCAGUGGCGAAGGCGGCCUUCUGGACUGACACUGACGCUGAGGUGCGAAAGCGUGGGUAGCAAACAGGAUUAGAUACCCCGGUAGUC